This 494-nucleotide ribosomal RNA is filed under the name uncultured bacterium. RNAcentral's name for it is "partial 16S ribosomal RNA". It matches the Rfam family "Bacterial small subunit ribosomal RNA", at positions 28 to 507 of the family's 1533-position model. The record is from RNAcentral.
GACGAACGCUGGCGGCGUGCUUAACACAUGCAAGUCGAACGGAAAGGCCUGCUUUCCCUUGUGGAUUGCGGGUACUCGAGUGGCGAACGGGUGAGUAACACGUGAGUGAUCUGCCCCCAACUUGGGUAUAAGCCUGGGAAACUGGGUCUAAUUCCCGAUAGGACUGCAGGGUGGUGCCUGUGGUGGAAAACGAUUUUCUAGUGGUUGGGGAUGAGCUCGCGGCCUAUCAGCUUGUUGGUGGGGUAAUGGCCUACCAAGGCGGCGACGGGUAGCCGGCCUGGGAGGGUGGACGGCCACAUUGGGACGGAGAUACGGCCCAGACUCCGACGGGAGGCAGCAGUGGGGAAUAUUGCACAAUGGGCGGAAGCCUGAUGCAGCGACGCCGCGUGGGGGAUGACGGCCUUCGGGUGGUAAACUCCUUUCGACCGCGAGGAAGCCACCUGGUUGGAAGGGUGGUGACGGUAGUGGUAGAAGAAGCACCGGCUAACUACGUG